UACGUAGGGCGCAAGCGUUGUCCGGAAUUAUUGGGCGUAAAGAGCUCGUAGGUGGCUUGUCACGUCGGGUGUGAAAGCUUGGGGCUUAACUCCAGGUCUGCAUUCGAUACGGGCUGGCUAGAGGUAGGUAGGGGAGAACGGAAUUCCUGGUGUAGCGGUGAAAUGCGCAGAUAUCAGGAGGAACACCGGUGGCGAAGGCGGCUCACUGGACUGGUACUGACGCUGAGGCGCGAAAGCGUGGGGAGCAAACGGG
Molecule: ribosomal RNA, 253 nt
Filed under: uncultured bacterium
Lineage: Bacteria
Description: partial 16S ribosomal RNA
Rfam family: Bacterial small subunit ribosomal RNA
Source: RNAcentral